This 293-nucleotide ribosomal RNA is filed under the name uncultured bacterium. Its description in RNAcentral is "partial 16S ribosomal RNA". It matches the Rfam family "Bacterial small subunit ribosomal RNA", at positions 505 to 796 of the family's 1533-position model. The record is from RNAcentral.
GUGCCAGCAGCCGCGGUAAUACGUAGGGGGCCAGCGUUGUUCGGAUUUACUGGGCGUAAAGGGCGCGUAGGCGGCCAGUGCAAGUCAGUUGUGAAAUCUCCGGGCUUAACUCGGAAAGGUCAACUGAUACUGCUCGGCUAGAGUGCGGAAGGGGCAACUGGAAUUCUUGGUGUAGCGGUGAAAUGCGUAGAUAUCGAGAGGAACACCUGCGGCGAAGGCGGGUUGCUGGGCCGACACUGACGCUGAAACGCGAAAGCUAGGGGAGCGAACGGGAUUAGAUACCCCUGUAGUCC